GGGGUCUAUGCUAACUCGUGGUAGUUAGUAUCAGAAUUGAACUGAAUUUUAGAAUACCAGUUUUGGCAUCAGAAAACUAUUGCUGGAACAACAACACACAGACAUACAUCAACAAGGACAAAGAAAGCUACUCAGGAGGCUGAGGCAGGAGAAUCUCUGGAACUCAGGAAGGAAAGCCGAGGUCACACCGCUGUACUCCAGCCUGGGAGACAGAGCAAGACUCUGUCUCAAAAAAAAAAAAAAAAAAAAAAA
Molecule: long non-coding RNA, 252 nt
Organism: Sapajus apella (tufted capuchin)
Lineage: Eukaryota; Metazoa; Chordata; Mammalia; Primates; Cebidae
Exons: 2
Source: RefSeq, a predicted model, not a curated record